This 32775-nucleotide long non-coding RNA is filed under the name Phaseolus vulgaris (common bean). Its description in RNAcentral is "long non-coding RNA (PVUL_LNC005195)". Lineage: Eukaryota; Viridiplantae; Streptophyta; Magnoliopsida; Fabales; Fabaceae. The record is from RNAcentral.
AGAUGGAAUGACACAUUACAAGAUACACUACUAUUUUUCACUUUCCCAAGACCUGAAACACUACAAUGCUUGCGGAUUAACACGAACAUAAACAACAUUAUUUCCUGAACGAAAAGACUAGGGUAAUCCAAAGAAAGGUGAAGAAGCUACAACCCCUGCAUGCAUGCAUGCACUCUGAAUGAUCUCAAGGGAAAGGAACAACACCACUGCCUCCACCGAUGCCGGUUCCAACGCCGCCACCAACACCACCACCAACUCCUCCACCGGUACCACCGAGUCCUCCUAAUCCACCGAUGCCAGUAGUGCCGCCGAGGCCACCACCAAGUCCACCGCCAGCGCCAAAACCACCACCUAUUCCGGCACCAACUCCUCCAAAAGGUAGUCCAUUGCUCCCAAUUCCGGAAUAGCCACCAACUCCACCAUAGGUGAGGAAGUUCUUCUGGUCCUUGAGGCCAGCAUCUGUGGGUGCGUUUCUGGCACUUGUGGCCACAGCCAAAGCAAGAACCAAGACCAAGACACACAACUUAGCCAUGUCUCUCUCUGUUUGUUUCACUCCCACACACUAGGAAUUGACAAUGAGUAGUUGCACUCUCUUUUGGUUACUCUGAGUCUGUGUGGCGAAGUAUUUGGAGAGAUUGUUUUUUUAUAGGGGAGAAGUAAACUGACGGGUGAGGGGCAGUUGAGCAUGGUAAAUGAAACUUUAAUGUCUCUGCACAGAGCCAUGCUGUCAUCAGACACGUGGUCCCAAAUACAAUUUAAGACCAUUUUCCUACCCUUCCACAUUCGCUUAGGUCUACACGUAUAAAUUUUUCUUAUGUUAACUUGCAUUCCAAAUUAAACCACUUUGAUAUGUGAUCUCAGAUUAUCUUUCUAUUCAUUCUAUUUUAAUAUUAAAAUAAAUGGGAAACUUUUACAGAAAUGUAACUUUCAAGCGAUCCAGCAAGUUCAAACAAUAUUACACAUUUAGAUAAGUUGUGCUAAUUAAAUACUUCAUUUCCGAAGUUGUACUGAUCUAGUAUUACACAAAUACGUUGAAUUUGUUAUUCAACCACACGACUUUUCUUGAAAGUAUUUAUGAAAAAACCCUACUAGGUAAAGACGAUUUUGAUUAACAAUUUAAAUUUAAUUAACUUUUGAAAGAAAAAAAAAACAUUUAAUGCAACAAGGACUAUACUGGCUUUAAUAUAUAUAAAAUAAUGAAGAUUUUUGUGUAUUUUUUUUUUAUAUUGAAGUUGUGAUAAAAUAAUCAAUGUUUCUAAAAUAUAUUGAUUAAAAAUAGAUUAUGGGAUAAAUUAAAAAUAUUUUUUUAUAUUAUAAAUAUUAAGGACAUGUAGAUUUAGAGUUUAGGUUGAGAUUUUAUAUAUGAUUUGUGGUUUAGAGUUUGUGAUUUAGUAUUGAGGGUUCAAGAUUUGUGGUAUACCGUAUAAUGGUUUAAUGUUUAGAAUUGAGGGUUUUGUACACUGUUUAGGGCUUGGUUUUGAGUGUUACAACUUUGGGUUUAGGGACUGGAAAAACAUUUGUGUUCAAAUGAAGUAGGGAAAAUAACUCUCAUAAUAAAUCUUGUAUUAUGAAAUAGAUUUUAAUAAAAAAAUAUCGAUAUUAUUGCUAUAGGUAUAGGAGUAUUGUUGUAGUCUUAGCUAAAAUCAAGUGAACUGUUUCUCUUCUAUAUGAACUUCGCAUAUUCUCUCCAACACCCACAAUCUAUUCUCAUAAUCUUGACACAUUCCUCCUUGCAACCGAUCCAAUCAUCCACAUAAAGUCGAAGCAUUUUGAGCUUGAUCUCUAUUUCUUAUGUAACCAUGAAGAGUAGAAGCUUCCAUAGCUUAUUGAUCUAUCGACUCUUUUUCAAACUACAAACACGUUGAGAAAGCCUCUAUCCAGCUCUUCCUUUCACUCAUUUAAGCAUAAACUUAUCAUUGUAUCUUAUCUCACCAUAAGUUAAGGAGGAAUGUUACUUGGUCUUAAAAAAGUGCAUGCAUGGUUUUUGUGUACGUUUUCUGUUAGGAUGAUAAUAGGUUUCCAAAUAGUAAAAAUAUUCACUUAACAAUUAAAAAAUUAAUAUUUUAAUUAUAUUUAAUUUAUUUUUUAAUUUAAAAUAUUAUAUUAUUAUAAUAAGUUGUCAUAUUAUUUAUUUUUUGGAUAGUGAUACAUUAAUAAAACCUUAAUUUUUUUAUACAACUAUAUUAUAACUUCUAAUAUUAUCAUUUUAAUAUUUUUUUCAUAUAAUUUAAUUAUAAAUUUAUUUUUUAUUAUAUAUAUUUAUUUUUUAAAAUCGUUAUAUAAAAGUUGUAUAUAAUUAAGAGUUUUCAAACUGUUGUUUGCGAAAGGAAACUUUUCUUUUUCUAUUAUAAGCUUAUACAUUGGGUGCAGUGAUUCUCUGUUUGGUGUGUAACAAUAAUAUAAUGUUUCUCUUUCCUCUCUUCCUUUCCCUCUGCUCAUCUUAGAAAUAUUGAUGUAAAAUCAUUUUUAUAUCAUUUUAAAAUUUAAAUUUAGAUAUUUAAUUCAUUUCUAUAAAGUUGAUGCGUAAGAUGAAAAUUCAUUUAUUUUUCUUCCCGAAAAACUAAAACUGAAGAGUGAAGAAUGGGAAGUACUAGUGACGAGUGUCAAUGGUGCAUGCAGUGGUGGACUGAGGGAAAGGAAGCAGGGACAUAGAAGUGAUGUAUUACAUCACCGACGUUAUUUAUUUUAUUUUUUUGAUAAAAAAAUCAAUAUCCAUAUAAUAAGUAGAAUUUAUUUAACACAGUUUUAAUUUUAACAUGAAUUAUGAUUAGUGUUAGACUUAGUUCAACUUCAAACAAUGCAUUAUAUUCAGUUUUUCUUCUUUUGUCAUGAGUGGCAAAUAUAUUUAUUUAGCCAGAAACUUGAAAAAUUCAGCUGUGGGAAGAUUUUUUUUGCAUACAGUGACGUGUAUACGCGUCAAAAGUUUUUUUUUUCAUUUUAUUUUAAUUCUUCAUGACCUCGUUUCAUAUUUAUUUUUUUCUCUUUCCUCUUUUAUUUUUUCUUUUCAUCCUUAUCUUCUUUCAAACUCAUUUGCAGACAAAAAAUAAGAUGUAUAUUUAUCUUCCUCCAAGUAAGAAAAAAUAUAAAUGAUAAAUAUUAAAUUUAUACCCAAAAUAGGUGUCCAAGUAGAGAAUAGACAAAAAAAAUAUAAAUUAUAAACAUAAUAAAUGAUGGAAUGAAAAAGAAAUUCGAGUACACUUUUCAUGAAAAUAAGUUAAACAUUCAUGUUAAUAUUUUGUGUAGUUUAAGGAGCAUUUUAAAGUAAAUAUCAAUUAUAUUUUUAUUCUUUUAUAUAGAUAAAUUGAUCAUAUGAGAGGUUAUUGUAUAAAUUUAAUUUCUCGAAUCUUAAUAGAAUCGUAAAAAUGAGGUUUCGGCCUUAAUAGUCAUUUUUAAGCGAUUCACCGAAUACAAAUAAAAUUUUAACUAUUACAAUUGUGUGAUAGAUUGAGGAUUCAAUUGUACAAUUUAAGCACGAGAGACUAAAAUUGUACAAAUGAAAUAUUUAGAAUACCGAUCGUAAAAUUAAGAUUAAAAAAUAAAAUUACUUUCCCAGCAAAUAUAAAAAAAUAAAUUACUUAUGAGAAAAUUUAUGAUUCCGUAAAGUGGAACUUUUUGUAUGAUAUGCUACAGAGAUUGGGCUUUCAAAGUAAAUGGAUCAGGUGGGUUAAAGGGUGUUUCAAGUCAACAUCGGCGUCAAUUCUGAUUAAUGGGAGUCCCAUAACGGAAUUUUAUCUUUCCAGAGGGUUAAGGCAAGGAGACUCCCUAACCUCGUUCCUCUUUUUUGUUGUAGCUGAAGACUUAGUAUGGUUAGUGAGACAAGCACUAGAGGAGAAUCUGCUUAAAGGUGUGAAGGUGGGGAGGAAUGAACUUGAAUGUUGUAUGUUACAAUUCAUUGAUGAUACUCUUUUUAUGUGCAAAGAUUCAUACAACAAUGUGAUUACUAUUAAAGUUAUACUAAGGUGUUAUGAGCUUGCUUCUGGUAUGAAAAUCAACUUUCACAAAUCAAAGUUGGCAGGAAUAAAUGUUGAGAGGAACUCCCUUGAAUGUUAUGUGAAAUCUCUAAAUUGUACUCUCACAAGGUUACCUUUUAAAUAUCUAAGGCUAGUUGUAGGAGGUAGUGCAAGAAAGAAGCUGUUUUGGGAGCAAAUUCUGAAUAAAAUUAAUGAUAGACUUAGUGCUUGAAGGGGAGAUUCUUAUCUCUGGCACGAAGAAUAUGCUUACUCAAAUCAGUUUUCACUACUUUACCCCUCUCUUUUUUUUGUCUUCCUAUAAAGCUCCGAUAUCGGUAUGUAAUAGUAUUAUUAGUAUCCAAAGAAUAUUUAUUUAGGCAUGGGAAAGAGACCGCAAAUCUAUAUCUUGGAUAAGUUGGGAGAAUGUUUGCAAAUCUCUGGAGGCAGGAGGGCAGGGGAUCAAAGAUAUCAGAUUGUUUAAUAACGCUCUUUUGGCAAAAUGGAAAUGGCGGUUGGUGAGCAAUGAGCAAGGGAAAUGGAAAGAUAUUAUUCUCUCAAAAUAUGGCUCGGUGUCAAGGCGAAGUCAUAUCCAUUCAAAAUUUCAAUCUUGUUGGUGGAGAGACUUAUCUAAAGUAUGUGGUGAGGGAGAGCAAGAAGGAUGGUUCCAAAAAGCUUUAGUAUAGAAAGUUGGAGCUGGGGACAGAGUUAGAUUUGGAAGGAUGCCUGGAUUGGUAGAAGUAAUCUCGUCACACUGUAUCCUAGGUUGUAUUCCUUGUCUAUGGAUCAAGGGAUAACGGUGGGUGAGGUAGGUUUUUGUGAAGAAUAACAAGAAGAAGAAAUGCUAAGGUUAUUAUCUCAGGAGGCACUGAAUAGGGAGGUCUCAAGCAUUCAAGUUUGGGGAGGGGUUACCAAUGAGGGAUUUUCAGUGAAAUCAGCCUAUAAGUUCUUGGUUAAUCAAGACAUAGGUCCUUCUGAUGGUGUCUUUAAACAGUUAUGGCAAGUUAAAGUGUUGCCUAAUGUCUUAACGACUGCUUGGAGAUUUCUGCUGGAUAGAAUGCCAACUCGACUCAACCUUAUUAGGAGAGGAGUGGUAGUUAGCUCAUCUAUUUGUGUGUUAUCCAAGCCUUGGAAGAGUCCUCUCAGCACUUGUUCUUAGGAUGUUCUGUUGCACAACGUGUAUGGGAUCUCUGCUUUAGAUGGAUAUGUAUCUUAUUUGUCCAACAUAAGAACUUAAAGUGUCACUUCGAGAUUUCUACUUAGCACAUAUGAGCAUCAAGUAGAAUCAGGUUUGGAAAGGCAAGUGGGCAGUUGUAGUUAGGGGUUUCUUGAAGCAAAGAAACUCAAUUAUGUUCAAGCAAAGGGUUCCUGACAUUGAAGAAAUUUUUCAAUUGGCACAACAUAUAUCAUGGUUAUGGAUGAAACACAAGGUACGAACAUUCAAUUACUCAUUCUCGGAUUGACAUCUUAAUCUCGACCUAUGCAUUAAAAGUUAUUGCUAGAAGGAACGAUUGUCCUAGCAUACUUUGUUGUCUUUUCUUGUUUGCGAAAGGUGGAUAGUGGGUAUGUACAGGAGAUGAUUAGUUCAUUAUACAUAGAAGGAGUAGUUCUUUAGGAAGUCCACACCUUGUGGUGUCCUCUGUUCCUUUUUGGGUUAUGUUGGUUUUUACAUACUUGGUAUUACGUUGCUACAUAUAUUAUGUUGGUUUUUCGGAGGCAUGUCGAAGCACCUAUGUUAUGGUUUAAUAGAAGUUCCAAGUAUUGUUAAGGAAUAAUAGAACCUGCCAAGUGGUUAGACCUUCUUUGAGGAUUUGUCAUGUGUUUUCCUCUUCCAACAUUGAUAUCAUGCGGUGGUCGUGUUUUGGGUUUUGAAGUAGGCUUCUUCCUGUUUUCUAUGCACUUAGCCAAACAAUGGUUUACUAUAUUCUUAUCAGUAGCUUAAGUUUAUAUUGUUUUUGUUAAGGUAUGGAAGAUGGUUGCUGGUGUAUAAAUCUCAACGUACCAAAAAGGCAGCACAUAACAUCUACAUUGCAUAGACUCACUUCUAACAAGUGAAAUAGCUGUUAUAAGCUGUCAAUGACAACUUGGCUGGUGUUGCAAGAUUAUAUGCAGUGGAGGAAUAUGUGUCACUCCCAUGGAAGUUCUUUCGUUCUGUUUUUUAAGCAAUUUUAUCCCAAUUGGGCCAAUAUUUUUCAUCUCUAUGCAAGGAUCUAAAACCAUAGUUGGAAGGGGGAAGGGCAAUCAUUAAGGACCUGCAAUAUUGCUUUGUGCAUAACUUUUUUUCUAUUGGGUUUAUUUGUGGAGUGCGGGGUAUUUAGUAGUUUAAGUUUUUUUUAACUAUAUGGGUCACUUAGAAUGUAUUGAAUUGAUGAACUUCUAAAUUACGAGAGAACAUCUAUAAGAGUUGAAACACACUUCUUAAAUGUCUCUUUCUAUUUUAUUUAUCAUUGGAAUAAAAUAAAAAAACAUUUCCAACAAAUAUAAAAAAUAACGGAAAGUUCAUUAUGCUAAUUGGGAAUAUCACAUUUAAAAGAGUACAGAAAAAAAAAAUCAUUUUUUAAACCAGCUUGUGAAUCUUUACGCAAUAUUUUUAACAAAAAUAAUAUAUUUUUACUUUAAUCCUUAGUUUAUAUUUUAGUAUGAAGAUAUUUAUUAAAUAUAACUUAUUUAUAUUGCAUAGCAGAAUAGUAUACUAUAAAAAAAAGUUUCAUCGAGUAACAGACUGUGAAAUGAUAAUAAACAAUGAAAACGUAUUUAUACUGUGAGGAUCCUUUUUGUCAAAAUAUAUAAUAUUAAUGCCUUGGAGUUUAAAUAGCAAUGAGGGGUGCGAAUAACAGUUUUGUUUUUACUUUUGUUUGAAGAAAUAACUUAUAAAAUAGCCCAAAAGAGUGGGCGAAGGUUACCAAAUCCCAAGGCCUCAGUUUUAGCCCAACGUCUACUUUCAAAAACAAAUUGUAACCAAGACUAGCAAACAAGACCAAGGAAUAUCAAAUUAUUGUUAUUAACUUUUUUAUUUGAAUUUCAAUAAUUAAAAUUUGUAAAAGGAAUAAAUUAAAAAUAGCAUAUUAAUCUUGAUGUUGAAACAAAUUUAAGUUUCAAUGGACAUUAAUUAAAUAUUAAUGGUUUUUAUUUUUCCUCUCCAAAAAUUAGAGACGUUGUAAAGAAUGCUAACAACAGCAGUUAUUGUCUUAUUAGAAGUAUUAAACUGUUAAUUUUAUUCUAAAUGUAUGCAAUAUUUAUAUAAUAUUAUUAUGAAUACUUAUAAUUAUUACCAUUCUUAAAAUCAGUAUUUCAAAACUAUUUUUUAGAUUUUGUUUAUUAUAUUACAUGUCUUGUUACAAAAUGAAUUAUCAUAAAGUACGAUAUAAAACUUAAUACUACCUAAUUAUAAUAUUUUAUUUAAUUAUUUCAAAAUUAAAAAAAAAAAUCUAUUACAUCAUAUUAUAUCUGAAAUAUAGAACUUCGUAAAAAUGUUUCAAAUCUUUCUAUUUUCAAUCAAAAUCUUUAAAAAGUAUUAUUUUAGGUUUCGAGGUUCUGUACUCAAAUAGACUAAGUAAAAAAAUUCCAUAAAUGACGUCAUGUUUGGAUCAGAGAAUAGAAAAUAAAAAGGCAAAUUAUUCAAAGUAAAUGGAAGAGAAAAGAAAUAAGUAAAAGGAUUUAUUAUUAGUAUAUUUUUAAUUAUAUUACAAUAAAUAAAAAUAAAAAUAUUAAUAAAAUAUUAUGAUUUAUGUCACCUUUAAAUGUGUCUUUGAGUUGAAAAACGCGACUAAAUUGUUUCCAAAUUCAGAUUUUUUAGCCUCAUGGUGAGAGAUCUUCACAUAUUUUGAUGUAAUAUUUCUAAAUGAAGAGUAAUCAUCAAUGUGGUAGGUUCUACAACAAUUACUUUUACUAUUUCACGCAAUUAACUACACAUGUAACCUUCAACUAUUGGCUAAAUUAAAACAAUUACAAUUACCUUAUGUAUCCUUAAAAUUUAAUAUUAAAAAAGCAUAGAAACCUUUUUAGGCCUAUGCAAUGCAACCUAAGAUAUGUCAUUAUACAGUAUUGUAAAUAGCGAAUACUAAAUAUAAUACUAAAUCUGCCAAAGUUUCAAUAGAUGUCCUAACUCCAAAGGUAAUUUUCAAAUAGCUCGUUCAUUAAAAUAGCUUCAUUAGCUGAUCGUAAGAGAGAUCCAACGUUCUCUAUUGAAAUACUACAUUUUUUUUACUACAGAUGAACCAUAAUAGACAAGAUAUGCUGAUGUGCACCAUAGUAUUUAUUAUUAAUGUAUUGGAAAGUUAAUGUCAAAAAAUGUAACAACUAAUAUAAAUAAUGCAUUAGUUAGAAUAAAUAAUUAAAAAAAUUAAUAAUUAACCACACCUCAGGUAUAAGAAGAUAAAAAAUGAAUUUAGUAUAUUAAAAAAAUGAAAGGUAUGAAAAAACUUAUUUAAAAUACUAUGAAACUAUUUCGGCUACAUACUAAUGUGUGGGAUUCAAAAACUUUAAUACUCACAAAAAUAGAAUUAUUAGCAUAAUAGUUAAUUCCAAAACUUAACAUUCUAUUCUUAUAAUAACAAAUAGAUCAAAUUUAAAAAAUUAUAAAAAAAUAAAGUACAUCAAUUUUGUAAGUGACUAACAAUUUUAAUAUUAUCAAUAUAACUAACAAAUAUAUAGAAAACUUUAAAAAUAUUUGAAAAAAUAGUCAAAAUAUAUAGUGCGAAAUACGAUGUUAUAACCAUAAAAGAACUGAGUACAUAACAUAACAAGCAUGGUAGCUAAAGAUGACAGAAUAAUAUAUCAGACCAAGAGUAUCCAAAAAUAAUGCAGUUAAAAUCCAACAGAUAAAAACAUCAAAAAAGUUCUCGACAAAAAAACAAUUGAUAUGGAGGAAAGCAAGAAGUGUGAUUUAGUCGACUUCCUCAAUCUUGGGGCCAGCGCCACUUCCACCAGAAGGAGUAUAUUCAGUAUCUGCCGGAGGAGCACCACCCAUGUCUGGACCAGCACCACCCUGGUACAUUUUGGCAAUGAUAGGAUUGCAGAUGCUUUCCAAUUCCUUCAUUUUGUCCUCAAACUCAUCUGCCUCUGCAAGCUGGUUGCUGUCCAGCCAUUGGAUAGAUUGCUCAAUAGCGUCCUCAAUCUUCUUCUUGUCAGCAGGAUCCAGUUUGCCACCAAUCUUCUCAUCCUUCACUGUGUUCCUCAUAUUGUACGCAUAGUUUUCCAAGGCGUUCUUGGCUUCAACCUUCUUCUUAUGCUCUUCAUCCUCGGAUUUGUACUUCUCAGCCUCUUGAACCAUCUUCUCGAUAUCAUCCUUCGACAGUCUACCUUUGUCAUUGGUGAUGGUGAUCUUAUUUUUCUGGCCAGUGGUUUUAUCUUCAGCAGAGACAUUCAAAAUACCAUUGGCAUCAAUGUCAAAGCACACUGUAAUUUGUGGAACACCCCUGGGAGCAGGAGGAAUACCAGAAAGUUCAAAUUUGCCCAACAAAUUGUUAUCUCUGGUCCUUGCUCUCUCACCCUCAAAGACCUGGAUCAACACACCAGGCUGGUUAUCAGAGUAUGUUGAAAAAACCUGCUCCUUCUUUGUUGGAAUAGUGGUGUUCCUAGGGAUCAGGACAGUCAUCACACCACCAGCGGUCUCCAACCCAAGAGACAGAGGAGUAACAUCAAGAAGGAGAAGAUCUUGAACCUUCUCAUUGCCCUCACCACUUAAGAUCGCUGCCUGAACAGCAGCACCAUAAGCAACAGCCUCGUCUGGGUUAAUGCUCUUGCAAAGCUCCUUUCCAUUAAAGAAGUCCUGGAGUAGUUGCUGAACCUUGGGAAUUCUGGUAGAACCACCAACAAGGACAACAUCAUCCACACUUUUUUUGUCCAUCUUAGCAUCCCUUAGACAUUUCUCCACUGGUUCCAUACAUUUUCUGAAGAGAUCCAUAUUGAGCUCCUCAAAUCUGGCACGAGUAAUGGUGGAGUAGAAAUCAAUUCCCUCGUAUAGAGAAUCAAUUUCAAUGGUAGUCUGGGCAGUAGAAGAUAAGGUUCUCUUAGCCCUCUCACAUGAGGUCCUCAACCUUCUAAGUGCUCUGGGGUUUCCACUUAUGUCCUUCUUGUUCUUUCUCUUAAACUCUUGUACAAAGUGGUUCACCAUCCUGUUAUCGAAAUCCUCUCCUCCAAGAUGUGUGUCACCUGCUGUGGCUUUCACCUCAAAGAUGCCCUCCUCGAUAGUAAGUAAAGAAACAUCGAAUGUCCCACCACCAAGAUCAAAGAUUAACACAUUCUUCUCACCCACACUUGUUGCUUUCUUGUCGAGACCAUAUGCAAUGGCAGCUGCGGUAGGCUCAUUGAUAAUACGCAUGACAUUAAGACCAGCAAUAACACCAGCAUCCUUAGUAGCUUGACGCUGAGAAUCAUUGAAGUAAGCAGGGACAGUAACAACAGCAUUCUUUACUGUAGAUCCCAAGUAAGCCUCAGCAAUCUCACGCAUCUUCAUGAGCACCAUUGAAGAGAUUUCUUCAGCAGCAAAUUGUUUCUCCUCACCCUUGUAGUUAACUACAAUUGUUGGCUUAUCAGCAGGACCAGCAAUGACCUUGAAAGGCCACAAUUUGAUAUCACUCUGAACAGGGGCAUCGGUGAAUCUACGACCAAUCAACCUCUUUGCAUCUGUGAUACAAAAAUAAGCCUAAAAAUAAGCCAUCGCAUACCUCACUAAGUACACAAAAUUCAAAUAUUAUCGAAAACUUCAAGCAAACUGGAACUGAAAAGAUAAGCGCUUCUAUUAUAAUUGAUCAAGGUUACGUAUUUAAACUAUCACUUAGUAUGUAUAAUUGUCUCCGUUCUAAAACAUAGUUCCUAUAGAUGACCUCCUUUUAUAUUUAAAUAUCCGCAUUUGUUCUUAUUUUAAAUUUCAGUUCCUCGGUUUUUUUUUAAGAAUUAGUUACUAUACAAAAAAGCUAACCCGAUACAGAGAAAAUUUAUUUUAUGUAACUAAAUAUUCUUCCUCGGUAAUAGCUACAAAAGACAAAAACCUUACUACAGACACCAAAACUUGGACGUUUCUCAUAUGGAAACUAAAAAUAGAGAUAAUUAAAUAAAACAGGUCAAUAAUGUAACCAAAUUUCUACAACACCGUAGAUCUAAAUAACAGGACAUAUUAUAUGCACAUUAUUAUUAUCAAAAACUAAAACAUAGAUAAAUAGAUAAAAGAGAAGCACGAUACUAUUCAUUGGCACGGUAAAAAUGUAGAACAGAAAGGGUGUGCUUAAGAAAUGUUACCAAAGACGGUGUUGAUAGGGUUCAUGGCGACUUGGUUCUUGGCGGCGUCACCAAUUAGACGUUCGGUGUCGGUGAAUCCAACGUAAGACGGCGUCGUUCUGUUGCCUUGGUCGUUGGCAAUGAUUUCAACGCGGUCAUGUUGCCAGACCCCAACACAAGAGUACGUGGUUCCAAGAUCGAUUCCGAUAGCAGGACCUUCACCUUUACCGGCCAUUGUUUUUCAGCGUGUGUCGAAGAAAAAACGAUAGAUCUCAGAGGAAGGAAGAAGAUGAUAAACCACAGCGAGACACCACUGUGAUUCAAUAGAGACCUAUGGAGAAUAUGAUAGCUUAUAUAAUUAGGGUUUGAAGUCCUUCCAGAAUCUUCUUUUAGUCCGAGAAGUCGUUGCCAGUUGGCUACACAUAAUUUUCACGUUUCAAGAUCUGAUUUUUUCCAAAUCGUGGGCCCUUAGCGGGCCCGACUUUUUUGAGCCGACCCAAUAAGUCAGUAACAACUUUUGUUGUUUACAUCACUGAUCAAUUUCCUGUCAUAAUACCAAAAUGUGAUUAGUAAUGUAAUACAAUACCCUCCACCACAUUUCCCCACUUAAAUUAUUCAAUCAAUCAUUAAUAUAAAUACUUUUACAGUAACUUGGUCACUAUCUAUCAGGUACAAUAAAUUCUAUAAAAUAUAUGCAAAUUUAAAUGUUUGAUUAAAAAAUGUAUGAUAAAAUAACCAUGUGCAAACAUUAUACCUAUAAUUCGGUAGUAUGAAAAACACACGAUAUGAGAUCUAUAAACACCUAUUUUAAAGCGUGGCUAGAAAAUUGUAAUAUGCAAGCUAUAUGUGAAUAGCAAAAGGAAGAAGAGGAAGGGGAGAAAAACAAGAUUGUGAAUAGAAAAAGAUAACAUACUAUAAUUUUUUCCAUGUACAAAUCUAUAAAAAAAAAGGAUUUGGAUUUGGAUAAAAGGCAAAAAAAUCUAUCCAAUUAUAUUGUAUAUUAUAACCUAAAGCAUAUUAGAUGGGAUUCGAAACAAUAUGUCUAGCAACUUGGUUGUCAUAGUAGGCAAAAGUUUUGUAUUUUACUUAAGAAGAUGGAUGGAAAACAAUAUUAUGUUUCUUGAAUUUCCAUGAAAUUAAGGGUGAUCCCAAAUAGAUGCAUUAUCGGGUGAUUAAACACCUUAUGCUCGAAAUCAAAAUCACUAAAGGUCUUUAAUUUAGUGGUAUAACUAGAGGGAAAGAAAAUGUCUAGCAAAUGAGGGACCUUGAUAUAUCUUAAACCAUAAUGAGUUGCACAAUGAUCAUAAACAAUUGUUGUUGACUGCAUAAAUUGGCUCAAGAAUUGAACAAUAGGUUGUAUCCAACAUGGGGUUUGUCAAAUAAAACAAGUGUUUAAGGAGUCUUCGAUAUGAACUCGUUUCGUAGAUGCAAUUGUUAUGCUCGUACAUAUGUUUGUAUCUUGUGUUAUGAAAGUAUUGCAAGACGACAAGCAUCCCAGAAUAAGCAAGGAUAUCAACGGUGUAUUUUCAUUGACAAAGAUGUAUUCAUUUGGUUGCAUGUGCAAAUUCCAAACCUAAGAAGAAUUUGUCAUUGUUGGUUGGGGUUUAGUCUUAUUCUUUUUGUGUUUUGUCGCGCUAUAGUCUAUAUUGUUGCAUUGUAUUUUUUCGUUUAUUGGGUUUGGCUUUUUAGAUUGAAGGGGAGUUUGCAUUUUUUAUUUUGUCGCUGCUAGUUACUCUCUUCUUUAUCUCAUUUUUCAAGUUGUGUGUUUGCCUUUUAGGAUCACAAAGAUCUUUAGUGUUGGAUUGUGUUGAGUUUUGUUCCACCGCCGCUUGUAGAGGUACUUUGGUAUCUACAACGAGUUGGGUUGAUUCCUUUUUUGUUGUCUCCACUGAUAUGCAUUUGGGUUGCUUCAAUUUCGGAUAAGUGUUUUACAUUUUUUUACUUUUAUUAUUUGUUAUAUUAAUAGCUAAUAUUGUUGAUGAUAAUCUAUAUGUCUAAAUAUUUGUAAUUUAAUUUUAAAUAUGUUAGUUUUUAAGAUUAUUUUUUGUUAUGUUUCAAAUUUAUAAAUAUUAUUUAGAUUAAGAUAAAUAUAUUAGAUAUUUCGAAAGUUUAGAUUGAGAGAAUUUAUAUUUUAUUUUUUAUAAUAUUUUUUUUAUUGAACAUAUAUAUUUGAGAUGAAUAUUGGAAUUAAAAUUAUUUUUUUGAUAUUAUAUUUUUUUGAUGAUUUUUACUGUGCUUUGUUAUUGUUACUCAUACGUAGUAUGUUUUUUAAAAUUAUAGGUUGAAAAAGUAUAUAUUUUUCUAAAAAAACUGUUAGAUAGUACAUCGAUUAUAACUUUAACUAAUGUAAAAAUGAACAUAUUACAUCAAUUACAGAAAAAAAAAAAUUUGAUGUAAUAUAUAUUGCAGAAGUUGAUAAAUGAAACAAACAAGGACUAUUACAUUGGUUAUAAAAUAAAUGUUAAAUGUAAAGGACUUUCUAAACUAUUAGUAUCUACGUCAAUGAUGGAACCAAUGUAAUAAAUCUCUUAAAAUCGAUGUAAUUUUUUAACUUUCUCAUAUUUAGAAAACUUUAAUUGGAGACUUUGUUUAUGUACAACGAGUAUAAUACAAAUUUUAUAAGUUAUUGAUAUUUUGUUAGUGGUUAUUUUGUUAGUUGUUCUACUAAUAAAGAGUAGAAGUUAAAAAUUAAAUUUUGGUUUUAAUUAUAUCUUUUGGUUUUAAUAUAACACUUAUUACUUAGUUUUAGACUUAGAUCAUAUAAAAAAAAAUCUAAGGAUUAUCAUAGUUAUUCAAGAUUAAGAAACACACCCAUUUAAAUCCAACUUUAGUUCUUGGCGAAAAGGAUCUCCUACUAUCAAGAGAUGGAAAGAUAUGGUGAUUUUAUAACAUUUUAAUGUGUCAAAAAGCAAAACAUUUAAGAAAAUGAUUAAUUUAGUUUCAAGUUAUGGUUUAGGAUUUAAGUCACCUCCGUACCAUAAGAUAGAGUAAAGUACUUGGAGGAAGAGGUUGAGUAGGAGAGUAGUACCCAUUUGUUUUUCGAGUGUAGAUUUGCAUGGUUAUUGUGGAACCAUUGUUCUGUAUGGUUGAGGGUGCAGAAUGCGUUUCACAACAUCUCACUGUUAAACUUAUCUCAGUUUAUGUUGUGUAAUGUGCAUGCUUUGGUAAAUGAGGUUUGAGGAGUGAUUUUGAUCGCAAUAGUCAACGAGGGUUGGAAGCAUAGAAAAAGAGUAAUUUUUAAAGGGGAUGUAGUGGAUAUAUUGGAAGUUUUUGCAUUGGUUCAAUUAAAGGCUUGGAUACGGGUCACAUCUAAGUCACAUUUUGCGUUUUUUUUCUUUUUCUUAUUGGUGUUUUGACCAUUUAGUUUGUAUGAAGAUGAUCUCAUAAUGUAAGUUAAAGGUUGUGUUUAUGUAUAAGGAUUAAAACACCUCUCAAAUAGUUCAUAUUUAAUUAUUUUUUAUUGCUUAUAAAAAGAAAUUGAAAAAAAAGGUAAAACAACUAUAUAUGUUUUUGAAGGUUCAUAUCACUUCAUGGAAGAAAAUAUAAUAUAAUUAGUAAUAGAUGGAUCGCGAGAAAAGGGACUAUAUUAAUUUUCUUAGCUAAAAGUCUAAAAGGGAAUUGUUUCUCUAAAAUUUAUUUAUGCAUUUGCUAGUUAAAAAACAAUUGAUAAAAUUUAUAAAAUGUUGGAUGACAUUAUUAAAUAAAUCGGCGUGAAGAACGUUGUCCGAAUUGUAAGGAACAAUUGAAAUCAUGUUUGGGUCUGUUAUUCACACACCCAAAAAAUCAUGUCAAAAUCGUGUUUACAUGGCUAAUUUCAGUAAAAAAACAAAAGAUUCCCAUGUAUGAACUGAUAUCGUGAUAUGACAACUUUCUUUAAAACUAAUAUGUUACAAAACACGAUUUUAAAGAGAGAAGGACUUGAAAGCAUUGUGUUUUCAAAUUCAACUUGUCCAUUUUUAUGAUUUUUAAAAAAAUUAUUUAUAUUAAUAAAUUACAAACAAAAUUACACUUAUAUGAUGAAAAAACCGUCUAAAGUAAAACGGAUAGCAUAAACGUUGCAAACUAAUUAAAAUACCGUAAAUAGGUAAAAAAAAAUUUAAAUUGAUCAAAAUUGUCUUUGAAUUUUUAUUUACUUUUUUUUCUCAAUCUAAUAGUUUGAUUUAUAUUACAUUUUAAAAAUAAAGAAUGGACUGAAAUUGGAACAAAUUACUUAUUAUAUUUUAAUAUGAUAUCAUAUAUUUAGUGUAAUCCUUGUUCCCAAAACAUAAAGACAAACCCAACCCAUUGUCAUUUUUGUUUUUUUUUUUCUUUCUCUUUUCCUCUUUGUUUAUUCUUCAAUUUUUCUCUCAUACCUCAUUUAUUUAUUUAUUUCAAAAUCUGAUGACAUCCUGCGUAACUGAGGAGUCAGAUUACAUUUUUAUUCGAUUAGAUUAUUAAACAAAGUAAGUUUAUUUUUACUCUAAAUUUUUUUUAUUUUUUGUUUUACCCUAUCAUUUAGUCAUUCAUCUUAGUGGACCCAGUUGACUUUUCUCUUUAAUUUCUCUUUUCAUAUCUCAUCUAUUUAUUUCAAAAUAUGAUCAUAUCCUACGGUAACUGAGGAGUUUGACUGCAUUUUUAUCCGAUUAGAUUAUCAAAAAUAGUAAGUUCAUUUUUACUUUAAAGUUCUCUUAUUUUUUGUUUUACUCUAUGAUUUAGUCAUCAAUCUUACUGGGACCAGUUGAGAAAAGUGUUUUUAUCAAUUUGAUUAAGCUCAUACUAUACAAAAAUUUGGUAAUAUUUGGAUAACUUGCUCUAAAAUCCUAAAUUUUUUGGAGUGAUUCCCUAGUUUGAGGUAGAAAUUUCCAUCAAAAUAAGGAAUUUUAGGUAAGGGAAACUAACUUUAAUUUUUAAUAGUGGAGGGGACGUGGUCCCAAUAUUCAAUUUCUUUUGCAUGGAUGUUGUUUGUUUAUAUAUUGUGUUGUUUGUGUAUAUAUUAUUUAAACUUGUAGAAAUAUUAGAUUUUGAUAGUUUGGAAGUUAAAUAUUGUUUUUAAUGUUGGAAAGAUUUUUGAAUGUUAUAAAUUUUAAAAUGUUAUGUGAUAGAAUGAUAUGUAUUAUAUAUGAAUGAUGAAAAUUGUAUGAAAUUGGAUUUGUACAUUUGGGAUAAUGUAUGGACUGAUGUUUGUUUGUGUAUUAAGUAUUGAUGCCUAUAUGGUAACAAAAAUCUUCAAGCUUCACUGAUGAUUCACAUAGACUAAGAUAUUAGGCAGUGAGAAGCUGAUGGAGGAGUUCAUGCACAUCGUGACAUAUGAGAUGCACUACUUGAGGUGUAUUGAACUUAUCCUGAUCAUUUCUAUUGGAUUCGCUGCUAAUCUUUUGAUCAGAUGUUAGUCUCUGGUAGGACUUACUUAAUACGGGUCUUCUGGAAGACGAAGUGAGAUUGAAAUGAAAUUCAAUGAUUGUGAUUGAAAAUAGAUCAAUGUGUAUUCUAUAUGAAUGAUGAAAUUGAUAUUGAAAAUUUAUAUGACAACAUUUAAAGAAAUGUUUAUAAAUGAUUAGUUUGAUUGACUCUUUUUGCAUGAAUUAAAUAUGUUAUGAAAUUUCUUUUCAUUAGCUUAUUCUUGUUUUUCUUGUUGUGUUGUGAACUGCGAUGACAGUACUACGUACACGAGUAGAUGAUCAUACAGGUAGAGGAGAACCUUAAAGGCUUUAGAGUUUUUUUUGAGUUAUGGAUUUGUACAUAUUUAUAUUUCUAUAAGUCUUAAUCAUAUAUUAUGAAUGUUUUGAAAAACUCUAAACUUGUAUAGAAAUAUAUAGAAUGUGUAUUGUGAUAGUAUAUUAUUUUCGGAAUGUUACAUUUAGAGUUAAUAAGUAAUUAUUAAUAUAUAUAUAUAUAUAUAUUGUAUUUUAAUUUUAUUAACAGAUUAUUUAUGAAACAGGUAAUAAAUUUGUAUUAUAAUUAUUAAAUAUAAAAUGAUAUAAUUUAUUUAUUAAUAUGAGAGAAGAUUAAAGUUUUGAAUUUAACAAUAAUUAUGUAAAAAAAAUCAUAAUUUUUUUAAAUUUGCAUUUAAAAAUAUUUAAUUUUUCUAACUACAAAAUUAUAUAAUUUAUUUAUGAAUCUAACAAUAAUUAUGUAAAAAAAAUCAUAAUAUUUUUUAACUUUUCAUUAUAAAACAUUUAAUUUUAUCUAAUUUUUUAACAAUUUUAUGGUAAUAAAAAAAUAUAAAAAUCGAUCUAAAACAUAAUGAAAUUCGACUUCGAUGUUUAAUUCAAGUGGGCAUUUAAUGAAAAAUCAAAUCAUACCUAACAGUGAACAAAUUAAUUUUAUGUUUUACAAAUUCUUAAAAUAUGAAUAUUUAUAUAUUUACUUUUGAUAGUGAUUUUAAAACUUGUCUAUAUCCAACUUAAUAUAUUGCAAAAAGAAAUAAAAAUAAGUAUAUUCAUUAAAAUGAAUUAAUAUCGUUAAGUUUAUUAUAAAUAUAGGAGAAUCUUAAAAACUUUUAAGUUUUUUUUUAUAAUAAAUUUGUACCUAUUUAUAUUUCUAUAAGUUUUAAUCAUAUAUUAGGAAUAUUUCAAAAAAACUCUAAAUUUAUAUAAAAAUAUAUAAUAAUUAAAUUAUUUUCGGAAUGUUACCUAGAGUUAAUAAGUAAUUAUUAAUACAUAUAUAUAUAUAUAUUUAUUGUAUUUUAUAUUCUUUUUUUUAUAGUAUAUUUGAAUUUUAUUAACAGAAUAUUUAUGAAACAGGUAAUAAAUUUGUAUUAUAAUUAUUAACUAUAAAAAAUGAUAUAAUUUAUUUAUUAAUAUGAGAGAAGAUUAAAGUUUAGAAUUUAAAAAUAAUUAUGUAAAAAAAAUCAUAAUUUUUUUAAAUUUGCAUUUAAAAAUAUUACUUUUUCUAACUACAAAAUUAUAUAAUUUAUUUAUUGACAUGAGAUAAAAGUUAAAGUUAUGAAUUUAACAAUAUGUAUGUUAAAAAAAUCAUAAUAUUUUUUAACUUUUCAUUAUAAAACAUUUAAUUUUAUCUAAUUUUUUUAACAUUUUUAUGGUAAUUUUUCAAAACAUGUAAUUAUGUUUCAAACUUAUUUUUGAAUAAAUUAUAAUUAUAUUAGUAUAUAAAAAUUAUAUAUAAAAUUAUUUGUCAAAUAUAAAUUAUUUUGAAAUAUAUAUACAUAUUAAAAUUCACAUUAAAUUUCCUCUAAUUUUUUUUCGAAAUAAAUUAAUAUGAAACUUAGUUGCAGACAUAAUUUCUACAAAUUAACAUGAAAGUUACGUAUGAAAUUAAAGUUGCAUAAAUGUUUCCCUUGUAUUUAAAAAUUUGGUGGAAAGUUUCCGUGCUGUCUUUUUCACAUAAAAUUUAUUGUACUUUUUGUAGGAUUUCAAAUGUCUUACGAACUAAAUUCAAAUCUACAAGAAAGGUUUUUCAUAAAAAAAUCGUAAUAUGAAAAAUUAUAAUAGUGAUAGUUUGAUUAUUGCAAUAUGAAAAAUUAUAAUAGUGAUAAUUUGUUUUUUUUUUCACGUGACAUAUUCAAGCCACAAAAGUGAAAAUAAUUUAUUAUUUUAAGGGAUAGUUGAUUAUUUUUGGACAUGCCUUAUAAUACAUACAUGAACAUGUAAUUAUAAAAAUAACAAUUAAAUAUACGUAAAAAAAUUAUUAAAUAAAAAUUAUUUUUUAGACCAAAAUAAUUAGUUACUAAAAUUAUUAAAUACACUAAUUAGACUAUUUUAUAAACUAAAAACUUAUCAGUAUUUAAAUUAAUUUAUAUUAUUAAUAAUUUAUAAAAUAAUUUAUAAAUUGAUAUCUAAUUAUUAGCUAUCAAGAUUUUAAUUAUUAAUUACUUAUAUUUUAUAUUAGUCUCUGUUAAUUUUUUAAGAGACUAAUUUACAAUUUAAAAUAUUAAUAGUUAAAACGUUGAUCAUUAAUUUAGAAAUUAUUUUAUAAUUUUUUAUUAAUAAUAGAAACAAUUUAAGAUACCAAUAAUUUUGUUAUCUUUAAAUAAUAUUUAAUUUAAUUAAUAUAGUAAUUAAUUAUUUUUUGUCUAAUAAUAAGUGUUAUAAAUAUAUAUUUUUUCGUAAUAAUCAAUUAUGAAAUUGAUUUUAGACAUUAGUGUAUCUAAUUGUGUGGGAAGGUUUCACAUAGCAAUGCUUGAUAAAUCAAGUGAUAGUGAUGACAAGUGAAUGUAUGAAACAUUUAUGUUGUUUUUUUUUAUCAGCAUGAAACAUUUUUGUUGAUGUCUACCUAUACCUAAUGUCCAAGAUAUUUAAAAAUGGAUUAGAUUUCAAUGACAACAUCGUGAUGAAGAAUGACUUUUAAGGGGUGGAUGAAAAAUAUCACAUUGAGACCAUUAUUGUUUUUUACUUUUAUUUAACAAUUAAGAUAUUAUUAUUUCAUUUCAAAUUUUUGUUUAUUUUUAUUAAUUAAAUAUAAUAUUUUAUUAUUGGAAAGAGUUGUAAAUUGGAUAAGAAAAAAAAAAUGUGAAUCUCAAAAAAUAAUUUUUGGAGAUUUUAUAUAUGGAUACAAUACUUUUUGCAUAUAUUUUUAGCACUAAUGCUUAUAAGUUAUAAGAUGUACAUUGUAACCCGAAACAAAUUAUCUCCACUUUAUGGAUAGACGAAAUUUUAGUAGACGCAUUAUUGUAUACGACGUUGUGUGAAAAUCAUAAUAAUGGGUAUUUAGUGUUUGAAUACUAAGAUAAAAAAGAUGUUCACAUAACUAAAGAAACAAUGUGUCGAUAAAUUGAAGUCUCAACUCAUUCUUAUUUGCUCUUCUGUAACAUAUUUAAGUUGUUUUUGUUUUAUAUUUUGAAAAGCAUGAAGACAAACUUGUAAAUAUGUAAGAAUAAAUUAUUUUUUAACAAAAAGAAUAUUCAAAUAUUUUUAUUGUAUAUCACUUAAUAAAAUAUUUUUUUUUAUCUAUUUCUUCAUUAUUUUCUUUGUAUCACAUUACCUAUUACAUUUAAUAUUUUCUUUAUUUUUACUAUUUCCCCCUAUCUUUUCUACAAUAGAAAAAUAAGACAUGAAAGAAAAAAACAACAACAUAUAAAACAAGAAUAAAAAAAUAAAACCUCUUUAAUUCUCUUUUCACUUUACAAAGCUAAUUUUAAAAAUAACUUUAUACUACUUAAAUUUUUAUGCAAAUUCUAAUAAAAUUAAAUUUAAAAUAUAAAUUAAUAUUUUAAAAAAAUUAUGUUAUUAAUAAUUAUUGUUACUUGAAAUAUCAGCUGAGCUGAAAUGUUAAGUAACAUAGUGAUUUUGUAUAAAAAAAUAAAAAAACUAUGAGAUUAUUGGGCUCAAUUCCCUAUCUAGCAUCAUUUACACUUUUAUUUCCCUAUUUAGCACCCUUUUAUUUUUUAUUUCCCUAUCUAACACCAUUUCAAAAAUAAAUAAAUAAAUAAUAAAUUAAUUUUAUUUUAUAAUUUUAAUUUUGAAUACAUUAAAAAAUAAGUAUUUUUAAUGUUUAAAAUAGUUAGAAAUAUAAUUAAUGAAUAAAUAAAUGAGUUUUUACAAAAUAAAAAUAAAAAAGUAAUAAAUUAAAAAUGUUUAGUUUAAUUUUUUUUUUAAGAAUUAAGAAAAUAAAAAAUUAAACUCUACAACAACAUAAAAGUUGAAUCUAUAAACAUAAAUUAGUAUUUAUUUUUAUUAUUAUUGAUGAUGUAAUCAUGUAAAUUUCAAGUAAAAAAUAUAAGACAUAAUUAUAAAAAAAUCAAAGUUAAUUAGUAUUAAUUAAUAUUGAACUCACAAAUAAUAUUGAAGUGUCUAUCUACCCUAAAUGCAAAAUCCUAAAAACAAAACUAAUGCAAUUGCUACACUUAAUGCUUAAAUAUGAGAAGAAGAAAAAUGUAAAAAUAAAUAAAUAUAGAAAAUAAAAAUAACAACAUUGCAAGAGAUCUUUCAUGUUACGAAAUACUAUUUGAUGGAACUAAAAAAUGAAGAGCAUUGGCCUGCAUACACUAGUCAAAUACUAUGCCCAAGGCCCGACAUGAAAAUAACCUCAAAUGGGAAACCUAAGUCAAGUCGAAUAAGGACUGAUAUUGAUAUAAGAGAACAACAUGAUCGAACAAAAAAAUGUUCAUAUUGUUAAACACCAGGACACACAAAAAGAACAUGUCCCAACAUUAUUGGAUUGUGCUUUUCUCGUCCUUAAUUAUGUUUCAUUUCGCAUAAACUAUUUAAUGUACCAUUGAAGAAAAUAUUAAAUGAAUGAUUAUCUUUCAUUUAUUUUUCUUUUUAUGAUCAACAUCUACUUAUUUAGUAUCGUCUUAUAUCUCUUAUCUUAAUCUUGUUUAGAUUUUUUUUUAUAUCUUUGUAUAUUUAUCUUAUUUUGUUUUUCCUUUAUUUUAUAUCUUAUAUGUUUUUAGUUAUUAUUUUUUUCUGUCAUUGUUUAUUUAUUUUUGUUUUUUGUUUUUAUUUUAUUAUUGUUGAUUUUAUUUUCUAUACUUAUUUAUUACUUUAUUUUAUUUUUUUGUCUAUUUUUUUUCUUCUUUCAUUUGCAUNNNNNNNNNNNNNNNNNNNNNNNNNNNNNNNNNNNNNNNNNNNNNNNNNNNNNNNNNNNNNNNNNNNNNNNNNNNNNNNNNNNNNNNNNNNNNNNNNNNNUUAUGUCCUGUAUUUUUUACUUGAAAUUAACAUGAUUACAUCAUCAAUAAUAAUAAUAAAUAUUAAUUUAUGUUUAUAGAUUCAACUUUUAUGUUGUUGUAGGGUUUAAUUUCUUAUUUUCUUCAUUCUUAAAAAAAUAAUUUUAAACUAAACAUUUUUAAUUUAUUACUUUUUUAUUUUAUUUUGUAAAAACUCAUUUCUUUAUUCAUUAAUUAUAUUUAUAACUAUUUUAAACAUUAAAAAUACUUAUUUUUUAAUGCAUUCAAAAUUAAAAUUAUAUAAAAAAAAUUAAUUAAUUAAUUAUUUAUUUUUGAAAUGGUGCUAGAUAGGGAAAUAAAAAAUAAAAGGGUGUUAGAUAGAGAAAUAAAAACAAAAGAGUGCUAGAUAGGAAAAUAAAAGCAAAAUGGUGCUAGUUAGGGAAAUAAAAGUGUAAAUUGUGCUAGAUAGGGAACUUAACUAUAUUAUCUUUUAAUAAAGUCUUAUAUAUUGUAUCAUGUUCCUAUCUUACACCUUAAAAAUUCACAUGCUUUUACAAAUUUGCAAGUUCUUCACCUGACAUUUUAAUAUUUGCGUAUAAGAUGUUUUUAGCAAACAAGACAUUUCUUUAUGCGUUGAAAUAUUAUUUUUAUUUAAAAUAUUUUUUGGUUUGGGUUAGAUGUACUAAUUUAAGUUUUUUAUUACUCAUAUAUUUUGCUUAACUAACAUUUUAUUUAAUAGAAAUCAAUAUCAAAUGUUUGUAAUCCAUUAGUUGACUUGGAAAUUGCAAAACAACUCAAAAUUUUAUUAUUGUUGGUAGUAACAUGGAUAUUUAAUCAUCAGCUUGCUUAACUAACAUUUAUUUGAUAUAAUCGGAUGUUGACUUUAAAAUUGUAAAAUAAGACGAUAUUUUUAUCAUAUAUUAUUUAUGAAAUUCUAUUUUAUAAAUCAUCUCAAAAUUUUAUCAUUAUUGUAGAAGCAUGAUAAUUAAGAAAAACACGUGAAUAAUAUUUGGAUCCUUUCUACAUGAUCUUAUAUAAUAUUCAUGGAAUCUGGUUAAGCCAUAAUGUAAUGAAUAUACGUGGGCUUAUCAUACAUAUUCAUGACGGUUGGAUAGUUUAUUUUUAUAAAUUUUUGAAGAAUCUUUUGCUUGAAGAGUUAGAAUAUAUGAGAAUGAGUUUGAUCAUGCUUUAUCUUUUAAAAUUAUUCAAUACACUUAUUUAUCAUUAUUUAUCAGUAGAAUUCUUUAAUAAUUAUUAACAAACAUAAUUUGUUUAAUAAAUUCAUCAGUAAUAGAAUAUUUUCUUGUAAUAAUAUAGAGAAAUUCAUAAUCAUAUUAAUAUAAUUUAAUAUAAUUGUGAAUGAUCUUAUUGGUCUGGAAACUUAAAAUAUUAGACAUAAUAAACAUUAUUUUAUGUGUCAUUAAGAACAUUGUUUAUCUUUUUUUUAUAACAUCUUUAAUUUUUUUUUUGUCUUUAUUAUUUAUGAUGGUAGCUAGAAUAAGGGAGUCUCUUAUGUCCACAAAAGAUGACAAGUAAAUAUGACCCACCACAAAGAACAUAAUUUUGGUUAAAACUAUGCAAUUGUCUCAUCUAUUCCAAAGAUCCUAAGGAACUAUACGAGGAUCAGUAAAGGGCACUACAGUUAAAAAAGAAGCACAUUCGAAUCAUAAUUUCAUCUAUUAUUCUCUUUCAAUAACAAUAAUGGCACCCAUAAUUCUGCAUAAAACGGCUGUUUAUUACCCUAAGGAAAAUAACAAAGGAUCAUUUGCUUAUAUUUAUCACAUCUUUGAAAAAUUCUCCACUCCCAAUUGAUUUAACAUAAGCGUCACCCCUAUUGCAUUUUAACCAUAGAACAAAGGGUAGAUCAUAAAGUAUCUCUUUAAGUUGGAAGACUUUUUUGAGGUGCCCACCAAUGAAUUUUGCCAUACACUUGCCAAUUAAAAACAAAAUUAUAGUAAAUACAUUUCAAACAUAUUUACGAAGAAGAAGAAAAAUAUGAAUAAAAUUUUAAAAAAUCACCAAACCAUUAUAUAUAUAAAGUAAACAAUACUUACCUAUAUAUACUAAUAUUAAUGAGUGCAUGAUAUAAUAAACUUUAGUUAAUAAAUUAAUUUUUUUUUUAAAUUAAAGAUGAAUUGAUAUUUAUUACUUUUAAGUUUGAUUUUAUUAGUGUAUAUAUUGUUAAUUUAAUAUUAAAAAUUGCAGAGUCAUAAUAUCUAGAAGGUCAGAUUUACAGAAUUGGAUAGAGCAAUGGACAAAGAUGUUAUGUAAUUAUAUUAUGACAACAUAUUUUAUAGCAUAUAUUAUACGUCACAUCGUUAAUUAUAUUAAAUAUUUAGUAGAAUAUUGAUAUAUAAGUGUCAAAUAUCACAUCGUAAUACAUAAAUAAUUAUUUUAAAUCUUUAAAAACGUAAAUUUUACUUUAGGUCUAAAUAUAUUUUUUACUUUAUGUAAAAUUAAUAGAUUUUGAUUCUGGUUCCUAACUCUCUUUUUUAUUUAUUUUUAUAAAAUUUAAAAUAAUAACUUAAUAUUUAUAAAAUAUGUGAUUUUUAGUUUUAGCUUUUUUAAUUUUUUCAUUCAUUUAAAAUUUUAAAUAAUUAUUUUUAAUUUAUUAUAUUAAUACUAAGAUAGAUGAAUAAUAUUUUCUCACAGAUAGCAAGAGUUCUUUUGAAUUGAUUAUAUUAUUUAAUUACCAUAUUAGUAUUUGUCACUUGGAACGAUUGUUUAAUUCUAAAAAAUAAACAAGUAGUUAAUUACUAUCAUAUAAUACUGAGACUAACCUAAAGUAUAUUUUUUAGUUUAUGUAAAAUUAAUAGAUUUUGAUUCUAGUACUAACUUUUUUUUAUAUUUUUUAUAAAACUUAAAUAAUUGUUCAUAUUUAUGAAAUAUGUGAUUUUUAGUUAUUUUUUUAAGUUUUUAUUAAUUUAAAAUUUAAUAAAUAAACAUUAAAUUUUAUAAUGUUAAUAUUAAGAUAGAUGAAUAAUAUUUUCUCAGGGAUAUUAAGAUUUUUUUGAAUUAGUUAUAUUAUUUACUAUAUUGUUAUGUAUCACCUGGAACGUAUUGUUAAUUUUUUUGUUAAAUAAAUGAUUAGUUAGUUAUUAUCAUAUAAUAUUAAGAAUAAAAGACAAUAACUUUUAGUUUUAAAAGAAAAAAAUAACUUCACUUAUUAAAAUAAAAAUCAUUCUUUUUCCACAUACUAGNNNNNNNNNNNNNNNNNNNNNNNNNNNNNNNNNNNNNNNNNNNNNNNNNNNNNNNNNNNNNNNNNNNNNNNNNNNNNNNNNNNNNNNNNNNNNNNNNNNNAUAUAUUUAACUCAUUAAUAUUAUCACGAAACUUCAAGUGGUUUACAUUUAAAAUUUAAAGUCAACUAUAUUUAAUUUUUUAAUUAAUAGCUAAGAUUACUUUACCUUUAAAUCAAGUUAUAUAAUCUAAUCACUUAAAAUAAUCAAAUAACAAUCAAUUUAGAUAAAAAAUAAUUACUCUUUAUAUUUAUUAAAUUAAAUACUAUUUUAUAUAUUAAAAAUUAUUAAUAUCUAAAAUAUUUUUUAUUAGUAAUAAAAAUAUAUAACUUAAUUUUUUAUUGUUAUCUAACAUUAGCUAUUAAUUAUUUUAUAUUAUAAAUUAGUUACUAAUUUAAUUAAAUAUUAAUUUAAAACUUAAAAUAGUUAGUGUAAAAAAUCUUGAUAGCUAAUAUUAGAUGUCUAUCUAAAAGUUAAUUUAUAAAUUUCUAUUAAUAGAAAAUUGUUUAGAUAUCAAUGAUUUUUUUAUUGGUGUAUAAAUAGUUAAUUUAUAAAUUUCUAUUAAUAGAAAAUUGUUUAGAUAUCAAUGAUUUUUUUAUUGGUGUAUAAAUAGUAUCUAACUUAAUGAUUAAUUAUUUUUUAUUUUUAACUUAAUUAAUUGUUAUUUAAUAAUAUGCUUGUUAAAAUUUCUAGUCUUGAAAAUGAGAUGAUAUUAUCUUUCAUAUUUUAUAUAAAAAAAAGUAAAUUAAAGUGUUUUCAUUAAUUAUAAUAAAUACAAACUUAUUUAGAAGUGUAUUUAUUUUGUUAAUUCUCUUAGUGUUUGAAUACACAAAUUUAAAAGGAUAACUAUUUCUAUAACAAGUUUAAAAUAUUUGGUGACAAAAUAUAUUGUUUGAAUAAGUAAUUUAAAAAAAAAAUUAAAAAAAAAAAUCAAGUUUCAUUUAGAAGUAAAAGUUUAAAUUAUUUUGUAUCUUCUAAAAUUGUCUUAUUUUUUUAUUUUUCCUUCUGGGGUUAGUUUUAAUUAGUGGUUCUCUUUCGGUCAAGUUCCAUUGGUUGAAUAUGUUCUGAUUAAUGUUGACAAGGUUAGUGGCUAAGAUUUUCUGUUGGAUGAUAGAGGCAAAGUGUUAUUAAAUAGGUGUAGAAGAAGGUGAAGAAAUUCUUGUAUUGCUAUGUGAGAAACAUCUUGAGUGAGUAAACUAGCUCUGAAGGAAGUGUUGGUUAAUUAGGUAUGUCAGAAACAUCUUCAAUCAGUAACACGAGAUCAGAGGUGUGGAGAAGCCGUGUAAGGUCUGCACUACGAACCACCUUGGCAUGCAGCAUAGCAGGUUGCAGCUACCUUUAUGGCCCUGCACCACUCCGACGCUACCUCACAUUCCCAGCUUUCAUAUACUCAACAACGCUCCUCAUAGUUUCAGAUGGCACACUCGGUGAUACGCUGAGAGGUUGCUGGCACGUGCUUUGCGCCAGCAUUCAGGUCAUGAUACUUUCCCUGGUCAGUGUGCAGGUGAUAGGACCCCAGAACUUCACCAGCCAUGUGGCUGCACUCGCCAUGGCAGCUUCUGCGUUUCUCGUUGCGUUGCCUGUUGAAUCCACCCACUUGGUCACUAAGCAGAUAGCGUUUGGACAGCUAGUGAAUGUUUACGUUAGGACUUCCAUUGAUGGUGGAGAAGGAUUCGCCACGCACACAAUUCAUGUGGUCUGCUGCACAGCCCUUGGAGCUGCGGCUUCUGUUCUCGCCAUGUUGCUCCCUUGCCCUCGCCUCGCCUACUUUCAGGUAUUAACAAUUUUCUCUUACUUUCUUUACAUACUGAAAUUCAAUGAUCUUAGCUUGGUGAUGUAGCUCAUGCAUUUCCACUACAUACAUGAAUAUACAUUUAAUAAUGAACAAUAUAUUUGUUAUAAAAUCAACGACGACUUCAUAAUCCUACUCAAUUUCUUACCAAUAUGUUGCUGUUUCUAGUUUGGUUUUUAUCAAACUAGCUCGUCAUUCACUUCUCUUUUUCUCUCUUUUAACAUCAAAUGAAAAUGUUUUUUUCUAAAUCUUAUAUGCACUAAUAAAUAUUAAUAUUUUAAUCAUUUAUAAUUUUUUUAAUUUUAAAAAUUAUUUUAAUAUUUUACAUUUUGUUUAUAUUUUUAUUAAUUUUUUUUUUUACAAAUAUUAAUAUUUUGUUAAAUAUAAGGUGUAACAAAGUGUAGAAAUAUCAUCACCUCACUCAAAUAUAGUAAACAACCUAUCAUACCUUUUACACCCAAUUAUAAUAAUAUAAUAAUAUUUUAAAUUAAAAAUAAAAUAAAUAUAAUAUAAUAAUAUUGUUUGUGGUGUCAAGUAUCACCACCCUUAUGAUAAAUUUGUUUAUGAUAUUUUUGGUGUUUUUAAUGAGUCGUGUCUUAUGAAGAAAAAAGUCACCAUAAAAUCUUAAUUUAGUAGGGACAAAAAAGUACGAAAGGAGUUAAAUAUUUUAAUUCACGGUCCACUUAUUGUGUCCUGCUUAAUCAAUCUAGAACCCGUGUUUAAUCAAUCUAGAAACCGUGUGGGCCAGGGAUUUAGUGGGCAUAAUCUCUAAAAAAAAUAAAUUAUUUUUAUUAAAAUAGAACAAUAAUAAUUAUAUUUUUGAGGUUUAGAGAAGAUGAUACUUAAUUAUUAUAGUUUUUAGUAGUUUAAAUAAUAAUUGUUUUUGUUUUUUUUAUGAAAAAUUUAACAUAUUUAUUUGAUCUAGAUGUUAGUAACUUAUUUAAAUUUUAUUGUUAAUGAUAGAUUCAUGUGUUGCUUUAAGAUUUUGUUUAUGUGCACUAGCUUUCAAGUAUGAGGGACAAGUUAAUAAAAAAAUCAUAAUUUAUUAAUAUUUAAAGUAAAUUUUAUUAUUAAUGAAAUUUAUAAAUUAAUUUUUAAUUUGAUAUCUAAUUAGCUACCAAGAUUUUAAAUACUUUUUAAAAUUAAUAGUUAAAACCUUGAUAGUUAAUUAGAUACUAAUUUAAAAAUUAGUUUAUAAAUUUUAUUAAUAAUAAAAACUACUUUAGAUAUUAAUAAUUUUUAUAGUCUUUAAAAUUUAAUUUAAUUAAUAUAUUAACUAAUUUUUUAUUUUAUUUUUAAAAUUAGUUUUUAUUUAGUGAUUUUCUUAGAAAUAAUUUAGAUAAAUUAAUAAAUUUAUUAUUUUGACAAUUCUUUUAGGAAAAAAAUGUUAAAAAUUAUCUUUUUGAAAAUACAUGAUAAUGGAGUAAUUUUUUAACAUUAACUUAUGGUAUAGUUUAAUAUAAUAAAAAGUUAAAAUCAAUUAACUAAUUCAUUCGAGGUUGAAAAUAUCUUGAAAGGAGGAAUUAAGGUUCCUACCUGGACUCCUUGUUUUAGCAUUGAUUGAUACUUCUAUUAGCAUACAGCAUAAGUCAACAAAACUCAAAACUAUAUGAAAAGAAACUUAUAUACAUUCCAAAAGGAAGGAUUAAGGAAUACUUUGGCACUGGCAUUCACUUCUUUUUUAAUUUCAUCAUUUAAUCAUUUAAUUGUAUGUCAAAUUGUAUAUAUGUGUUUAACUUUUAUUGGGAGAGCGAAAGUUAGAAAAUUUGGGACCUAAUGGAAUUUGCUAGUUAAAAUAACUCCAUUGCUAAAAAAUAAAACUGUUUUAUUGUAUAAUAUAUAAUUUGUAAAAUUAUACCCUAAUUUUAGUCUUUGUCACUUCUUUAAAGAAUAUAGACAUAUAUAAUAGAUUCUUGAUUGAACAAAAAAAAGGAAUAUGAAAACGAUGAGAAUGAGUAUUUAUAGGAGUUGGAUUAGCACCCCAAUAGUCAAAUUCAGUAAUAAAUUAAACAAAUCCCUGGACCAAACUUAUCUUAAGAGAUGAUAAUUCUCCAAAAAUCUGGCAUGUAAGAUUGAACAAUUACCCAACUUGAAAGUAAGAAGGGAAAUGAAAGAACAGUGGACACAACACUCCCCCACACUAUUAAAAAAGUUGACAAUUCCACAGGAGCAAUAUGGGCCGUGUGAUUGUUUCUACAUGAAAUUUAUGGUUAGGGUAAUAAUACAGUUACAAUCUUAUUUUUUUAUAUAAUUAUAUUAUAAUUUUUAAUACUAUUAUUUUAAUAUAUUUUUUUACAUUAUUUAAUUAUAAAUUUAUUUUUUAUUAUAUAUUUAUAUUUAAAUACAAAUCUGAUGGUUGUCAAAAGUAUUAUUUUUCUCAUGAUUACUAUUUUAACCCAUCAUAAAGGAAGAGAAUAAUGUAUUUUUUUAUGAAAAUAUACCUCCUUAACAUAUACAACUAAACAAAUAAGAAACAAGUAAACUUUUGUUUUAUAUAACCUCCUUUUACCAUUUUCAUUUGUUUGUGACAUAUAUAUUGCACAUUUUGUUUAAAACAAUCUUAAUACUACGUUAAAAAAUUAUUAUUCUUUUGAAAAUCAUUAUAUUUUACUUAAUUUCUUUUUAAUUCUCAUCAACAUUGUCUCGCAACAAAUUUGAAAUAAUUUAUAAGGACAAAUUUUCGAAAAGCUGUAGGAUAGCCGAACAAAGUAUCAUGUGUCCGUGUUCAAAUAUGUUGCACUAACAUAUCGACAAAUAAGAAGGAACAAAAUGAACCAACCAGACAACACUAAUGGUUGGAAGACAACUAUAUUAAAAGAAAAAAAUUUGGAAGGUAAAGCAUGUUAAAGAAUUAACAAUGUAAACCCACAAGUACUUUGUUGUGCAUGUUAUCCUACUGACAAAUUAUAGCAUUUUAUUCAAGAGGGUGUUCUGCUUUUGUUAUAAAACUUCAAUUUGUCAUUGAUUUCAUGGAUAUUUGAGGACAGUAAAUAAACACUAAUUACAAUUAACCUUACUUUCAGACGAGAAAUUUGUGUAGACUAUACAAUGAUAAUAUAAGUGAGAGGUUAAACUACAACAUAAAGGUCAUAUGUGCCUCAAACAACUCAGCUGGUGUUGGUUACUUCAGUCAAGCUAAGUCUCUCUCUACUUCAGGAGUCAAGCUUCUUCAGAGUAUUAGAAAUAAACUGGUGAGUUAAUGUAAAUAUAUAUAAAUCAUGGUAUUUAGCCCUAUCUUUGUGGCUUGAGGACCAAACAGUUAAUUUCCUAGGAGCUAAAUGUUUGGUUUUCAUGUUUUUUAUGAAACAGAAUGCACUCGAUUGGGAACAACUACAAACAAGAAUUUUCAAAUCUGAUUGGAUUGAUCCAGAAGAUAAACUACAAUACUUCGAGUUACCGAUAAGAUCUAUGGACAUUGCUCUAUCAACUUGUACUUUUCCUGUAAAGGUCAUUGAUGAGGAUCUCCAAGGUAUACUACUGAAAUGCAUAGGAGAAUUCAACAAACAAUUAGAACGACAAUCCAAAUUCUUUACUCCUUUUGAUGCAACCACAACAUCAGAGAUGAGAAAAGAUAUUUUGACCAAAAAUUUGUCAAUGGCCUAUAAAGAUCUCCCAGCCUCGUUUUUCUUAUACUGCAUGCAUCUACUCCUAGACGGCUCACCCAUUAUAAAGAAAAUGGACCCCAUGCUGAGAAAAACUUCGAAAAAUGGUAACUUUCAGUGGGGCAUCAACAAUAUUAGAGACAUUGUGAUGGAUUUAUUUCCCUCGAAAAGUAAUUUGGUUUUUCCACUUAAGUCCUCUCUUUCAUUAGGAGUUGCAGUGUUUUUGGGUUUGACAUAUAACAAGGAAAAUGGAUAUUGGUCAGGACUCACAGUCGCUGUCUGCUUCGUGACUGGCCAACAUUCAACCUUCUCACUUGCAAAUGCACGAGGACAAGGAACUGCAAUGGGGUCAAUCUACGGGGUCCUUUGUUGCUUCAUUUUUCAAAGAUUUAUGGAUAUAAGGUUCUCACUUCUUCUACCAUGGGUAUUUUUCUCUUCUUUUCUUAUGUAUAGUAGAAUGUAUGGUAAAGCUGGUGGGAUUUCAGCAGUUACAGGAGCUUUAUUAGUCAUUGGUAUAAACCACGAUGAAGAUCCAAGUAAAUUUGCACUUGCUAGAAUUGUUGAGGCCACAAUUGGACUCCUUUGCUUCGUUGCUGUUGAGAUAAUUUUUAAUCCUUUUAGAGCUUCAACUCUAGCAAAAGCUAAACUUGCUCAAUGUUUGAGAUCUCUUCAACAUUGCAUUGGCCAUAUUGCCAUUAUCAUUCCUAAUGAAAAAGAUAAGUCAUCUUUUAGCUAUCAAGCUUCAAAAGAAGGGCAUCUGAAGUUGAAAUCUAUGGUGAGUCAAUUAGAAGAGGUCACAAUGGAAGCUGAAUUAGAGCCAAAUUUUUGGUUCGUUCCAUUUCAUAAUGCCUGCUACAAAAAGAUGUUGAAAUCACUAUCAACAAUGGCAGAUCUCUUACUUUUUGUGGCACACUCAAUGGAAAAUAUCAAGCUAUUGUUGCAGGAAGAUGAAACAUUUUUUGUGGAUCUCCAUGAUCGAGUUAAUGAGAAUGUGGUGAGUGUCAAGAACAAAGUUGGCGUCACAUUGAAUUGCAUUGAAAAGAUAACAAGGAUAAAGUCUCAUGGGGAACUUGAAAAUGAAUUAAGGAACAUAAAACUUCCUGUCGAUAUUGAUAAACAAGAAUACCCCAGGAAAGAUGCAUUUUGGAUAUGGAAUGGAGAUGAAGAGGUCAAUAACAUUACAUACUCUUUUGUCCACCAUCUAGAGGAGAUUGCUAAUAAGAUCUGCACCAACACAAAUGAGGAGAUGCUUAAAUGUCAAAUGCUUUUUCAUUAUGGUUGUUUGGGAUUUUGUACCAGUAGUUGAUAAGAGAAACAAUAAAGAUUCACAAUGAAGUAAAAGAGCUACAUAUGUGGGAGAAUCCCUCAAGUCAAACAAACUUCAAAGAAGUUUUUCUAAAAAACUCAAGCUCAGUGCUCACAGAAAAUCAAGCAGUAUGACAAAAGGUGAUUAUUAGUUUUAUCUUUGUUCUUAUCUCAGUUAGUAUUAACCUUAUCUCUAUUAUUAAUUAAAAUAAAUAUUAUUAUACAAAAUUUGUCUUUUAUUAUUGAAUUAUGUAUAUAACUUGUAACAAAUGCUAUAAUAUGUGAGUAAAUAAUAAUAUUUGAAAUAAUAAUUCUUUUCUUCUAAAUAUCUUUUGUUUCUUUCUCUGUCUUUGAAUAAAUUAUGCCAUGAAUUUUACAUGGUAUUAGAGCUCUUCAAAGCUCAGUUGUGCACUUUUAUUGUCUUUCCUUAAUACUAGCGUCAUUUAUAUUAUUCCAUGACUUUGACCAAUUCUUUAAUCCUAGACGAAUCACUCAAUCCCCAUAAUCCAAUAGUGAAAUCAGUAAAUCAGUGUUUAGAAUCUAUUUGCAAGUAAUAAAAAUUAACAAUAACAAUAAAAAAAAAUGGGUUGAGAUAGUUGCGCAUAAAAUAUAAAAGAGAUUAAAACAAAAAUAAAAAGGGGUUGAUCCUCAAGUUCUUCUACCAUUGAAUUCUUCACAUGUUCUUUAAAGAUUAAUCAUUUCUCAAUCCUCCAACAGAGCUAAACCAAAUUGAACAUUGCCAAUCUUAUUCAACUGAACUCACCGCUAAAACAUGCGUGUCUAUUGGUUGAAUCAAUACCUACUUUGUUCCAUGCGUAUACUCCAUGGGAGUGCUUAUCUUCUCUCUCUUGAAUCAUGCACCUAAGAAAUUAAUUAGAAAAUUACGAACUAACUAAGAAAUCAAAGUUUAGGAUAAGGAAGACUCUUAAUCAUGCAUUCAAGUACAACCUCUCACAAAAACCAGUUUUCCAGGAGAUUAGAAUAUUAAAACAACUGCUAUAGAGAAUUUAAAAAAUGAAACUUUUAUUGAUCAAAACCUCAAAACUCAAUGGGAAAUUACAAAGGAAACGACCAAAAAGGUUUAGCCUUCCAUGCGGAGGCAAAACAAAAUAAUUACAAAGAAGAAAAGAA